UAUGUACUGGAGGACUGCUUGGUACUCCUGUUAGCUGUAUGGACUUGAAUGUUUUGCUGAGCUAGAUUUGUGAUGUAGUAUCAGGUCUUUAACAGUGCCUAUAUUUAACAACCUAAACAGCGUUGGAUGCUUCCUGUCUCUCCGUAAAUCGUGGAGAUUUUGCUCAAUGUGAAAAGCCGGUAGGAUCGUGAUAGUCCGAUAAUGCUGUGUUACACAUAUAGCUUACAAUUGUGCUUUACAUGUUGGAGUGAUGUCCAGAUGGUUCUUUGUUGCUUGUCAUACUCUUGUAUUUUUACGUUUUAUAUUAUUUUACCUUAGUUCACAAUUCACAUACAUGUUUAUAUGUCAUUGCCAUGUACAUGUAUAACAUAUAUUUGUGAUUUUAAAGAAAUUUUGUAAAAAGUUAAACAGCGUUUUGGUUUCUGGAUUGCAGUGACCAGGAAGCGUAAAUUAAACAUCGUUUUAUUUUUUGCCUUACAGCAUCAUAUACCAUUGAAUUCAUGUUCUCGAUAUCACAUGAUUUGAUAAAAAAGUUUUGUACUCUGAGUUGAAACAAUGGAAGAUGUAUCGGGUAUUUCAUUAAAUUUUGUAAAUCCAUGAAAUGUUCAAACUCAUUUUUUUUUAGCCAUUAGAAUGUCUUUAAGUAAUUUAUUGACAUUUUCUUGACCUGUUUACAUUUAUAUCCAUUGAUUUUUUCCACAGUUGAUGGCGGAUUAGCCUACAUAAGUCAUAUAAGCUGGUGGAGACUGAACCCGUAUUAAGAUUUGGGGUCAGUCACUUUUUACACAUCAUAAAAAGUCACUGUGCUUAUUUAUCUUUAUUGCACUCUCAUUUACAAUUAUUGUACUGACGAACAUCAGCAACUUGUGUACAUUGUAUUACUUUCGACUAGAUCAUCCAAUCACCUCCUCGUUACCAAGGUCAUUCUCCACGUUACCAAGGUCACUGUAUCAGUGAGGAUACUAUAGUUCAUUUACCUUCAGGUAACUACAGUUACUCGUGUAAAAUUGUUUUACUAUUCUCAUUCAACUGCAACCACUAGCUGUUCCUCCUUAAUAUUCUUUUUACAAGAUGUAUGAUUUUGACAUCAAAUGUCUUGAAAAUGGUACUUUUUUAAUUUGCAGUUUUGGAAAUGAUGUCCACUGUAUUGUGUCAUUUGUAUGUCCAAUUAUUUGUUUGAUAAUCUUACUCGCUCAAAUGCUCAUGUUUAUACGGUCUCAAUAAGAUUUAAAGUUUACAGAAAUAUUUUCAACUUUCAAAAUAUCCGUUAUUGUGAUAGUCAUCUAAAUUAAAGCGCCUAAUAUCAGUGACUAACAUUCAACUGGUUCAGGUCACAGAAUUUAGGUGACUGAACUAAAUAACUCUAUUAAAGCAGCAGAAAUAAUACGCUUAAUUCAUGAAACUGAAAUAAUUCACUUACCCUGGUAAUUCAAGCAACUGAAAUAAGUCAUUUCAAAUUCACUCAAAAGAAGGUAUGCAUCAGUUGAAAUUAUGAAAAGUCGGGGGUGGGCUUAUUACCAGGCAUGGGCUUAUUACCGGUAAAGUACGGUACAUGUAUUAACAUUUUAACAACUCCUACUCUUAACCAGAAUAUUUACUUGUCCUCUGGUGUCUAGAGUGAUGUUGAAUCUGAAAAACUUACAUAAUUCAUUUUAUUUUGUUAACUGUUUUUCACAAGAAAUGUGUGUAUUUUGUUAAGUUAUCAAGUCCUCCUACCUGUUCUUUGUUUUUGUAACAAGCAAGAAAUAAGAUUUUGUUUAAGAGUCAAUAUAAAACAAUUGAGAAGUUUCAUUUAAAGCUGUCUGAUGUCACUUGAAAUGUUGUAGGGUUUUUUUCAUUUUUUUUUUUCAUGAUAACAUGUUUAUGAUAUCUUAUCAUGUUUUCUAUGUUGGUGCUUUUAAUUUGUAUAACCCAUAGAUCAUAAAAUCAUGACAGAUAUACAUUGUUUACUUUCUCAAGAACUUAUAUCAUACCUACCUGACCUGUUCUGUAUUUACCUGUUCAGGUAAGUUAUGUACAGGUGUAUGUUAACAGGUGUUCUUUGAUUACAGGUAGGUGUAAUAACAUCACAUCUGUAAAUAUUUAUAAUGUUUAUUCAGUAAUGUUUUAUUAAAGAUAUUAUUUCUUGGAUGUACAGCAGAAUUGUUGUUUGUUUGUGUGGAAUACAUCUCAAUUCAUAUCAUAUCAGUUAUUGAAAUAUUUAUUUUCAUAAUGCACCAAGUUCUUUCAGUUGGACUGGUAUUUCAUUUACAACAUUUUGAUAUUCGAUUUGAAAAUUUUCCUUAAAAGUGAAUUUGUUUGUACAAGGCCAUUUAUCAUUGACCUUUAUAAAAAAAUAUAUGUAAUGUUAGAUUUUUGUAAUAUCAGAACAUUUCCCAAACAGAACUCCCGUCAAUCUUUAGGCUUAUCAGGUACAUCUUCACAUUUUUGUAUCUAGGUUGAUUGUAUAAAAAAAAAAUCAGGUAUUGUACUGUAUUCAUUGAUCAGCUUAUUUACCAUAGACAUACUCGUGAUUAAAAUAUGUUUUCUUCAGUGAAGAGAAACCAAUGGACCAGUCUUGGUCAUUGUGUAUGAAUAGUGCCAUGUUGUGCUGCAGGUUUUGCACCAGAAAACAAUAUAGUAUUAUGAUAAAAUAAAAAAAAACAUUUGACUAAUUGUGAGUUUUAUAUUUAACCCUGUAUUUGUAGGCGAUAUACAACAGAGAUAAAUACAAUUCCUGCUGUAUAGGCGAGUGUUCUUACUAAAACGUGUGUAGGUUAAGGGUAUAUGAUACUAGUACCUUACUGUGACUAAAUCUAUCUUCUUCGCAAAAGAGUUCCACAGUAAGGUACCUGUAAAAUGUGCUUUCUUUUAACUCAUUCACCACUGAAGAAACAUUUGAACUCUUCCAUUCAAAGGUUGGAAUUGUUCAUUAUGUAAUUCAGGGGUGAACGAGUUAAGGAAAAUAUUCAAAAUGUAAGUUUUGUUAGAUACAAUAGGGCCAGGGUUGAGAGCUUACCUGGGUCACAUUGAAGUCUGCUUGCUAGUUGUAUAUAGUGCUUUAAUGUUGCAGUCAAUUUUUUCAAAGUUUUGUUCUUUAAAAUAAAAUAAAUAGUUUGUAAAUUCCUUACAACACCAUUAUAAGUGAAUAGUACUAUCUAACUCUCAAGCAGUCAGACAACAGAUCACUAGGUUUUUAUUGUGAAAAUCUGUUUAAAGCUUUGAAAUAUAAGUCUAUUUGUUUCACCAAUUCAGCAGAUAUGGAGUUAUUUGAAUUUUGAUUACUGGAGUCAAAGGUCAAGCUUAUAUCUCAAUACUAUAAUGUGUAUUUGUGUCUGUAACUGUCAAUCAUGCAACAUUAAAAAUGAAAUAGU
This is a long non-coding RNA of Mizuhopecten yessoensis (Yesso scallop), 3353 nucleotides long. RefSeq lists it as uncharacterized. NCBI's taxonomy places the organism in Eukaryota, Metazoa, Mollusca, Bivalvia, Pectinida, Pectinidae. The record is from RefSeq and is a predicted model, not a curated record. The transcript has 2 exons.